GCUCACUUUGGCAGCAUAUACUAAAAUUGGAAUGCUACAGAGAAGAUUAGCAUGCUCCUACACAAGGAUGACAUGCAAAUUUGUGAGGCGUUUCAUAUUAAA
Mesocricetus auratus (golden hamster) is the source of this 102-nucleotide small nuclear RNA. The record is from Ensembl. Lineage: Eukaryota; Metazoa; Chordata; Mammalia; Rodentia; Cricetidae.